Molecule: unclassified non-coding RNA, 206 nt
Filed under: Hevea brasiliensis (rubber tree)
Lineage: Eukaryota; Viridiplantae; Streptophyta; Magnoliopsida; Malpighiales; Euphorbiaceae
Source: RNAcentral
UCCCUCUUUUAUUUUGCCUACGAGCAUGGUGCGAAUCAUCAGAAUCACUGUCAGUAACACCCUCUCUGACCAGUCUUCCAAACCUAUCUAUUUUCUGCGCAUUUGAAGUAGAUUUUUCAUUUUUAUCUUUGUUGCACUCAUAUUUACCACUAAAAGCAGCAUUUUCCCCUCCACCUCCCAAGACAUCUUCUUUUGGGAAAGUCUCC